Molecule: long non-coding RNA, 2155 nt
Filed under: Homo sapiens (human)
Lineage: Eukaryota; Metazoa; Chordata; Mammalia; Primates; Hominidae
Description: HSALNT0191897
Source: RNAcentral
AUUUGCAUUAUGUAAACACUUCUUAUACACUAUAUGUGCAUAUUUGAUCAUUACAUUUUAAAGAAAUGCUGAGAAAUUAGAUAGCAUCUAGAGAAAAUGACAGUGACAUAAUGAUUAAAGGGCUGAAAAGUAAGUCUUACAAAAAAGGUUAAAAUAAUUGGCAUUUAGCCUGGAAAGGAGCAAAAUGAUUACUACCCUCAAAUUGUAUGUUAAGUCCUUUUUUUCUCUUGAUGUGAUACUGAGGUAGACUGAAAAAACAAAAAACAACCGAAUAACCUUUCAGAGGACUAUUACCUAUUCAAUACAAAUGUGUAGUUUUUGAAAGCUGCUAUGAACCAGGCCCUAGACCAGGUAAAUAAAUCGUAGUUCUUUCCUUUACGAAUUUCACAGACUUGAUACAGGGUGAGGAUGGUUGUAUUCCUUAGAAUAAAGGCUAAGUUGCUUUUACAACUUAGUACUAUAAAACUGGAUUUUUUUUUUUUUUUCAGUUAAUAGUCCAGUCAGUCAGAGCUGGUGAAGUAGACUUGCUGUAGAAGGUGUGAAGGCCCAGUCCUCCCUCCACGUUUCUCCACCCUUGAAAGGUCGUGUGCAUGUCUGUUCACCCAUGAAAGAAGAGGAAGACACCAAAUGGAUGGCAUUGAUUUCAUUUUAAUCCCUAGAGUUGAACAGACACAUUUCAAGCCUUAUCCAAGUUUAGGACUUUUGGAAAGCAUUGCAGUUGCGAAUAAGAGAAUGUGCUUGGAAUCUUACUCUUGUGCAUUGAAGAAGGAUAAGAAACAGGAAGAAGUAGAAGAAUAAGACCUAUCAGCUACUGAGAGGAAUGUUUUAAAAUCCAUGUCCACGUGCAGAAACUUUCUUCAUUUUGAAUUAGUGUUGUCAGCUGCUUCUUGUAAUUCUCUUACUUUUGUCAUUUAAAAUCUAUAUUAAGUGCAAACUAUUUAGAAUUAUGUAAUCCUUAUGAUUUAAAAUUUUAAAUUAGCUGUGUUUCAAUUUAUCUUCAGUAAUUUUUUUAAAGUCUAUUAUGUUUGAUAGUAGACUAUAUAUAGCUAUAUCUGAUUGUUACAACCCUUAAUUUUUAAUAUUUCUGAUUAUUUAUGUUUAAAAAGUGUCUCUUAUAAAUUCAAUAUAGUAAAUCUUUUUAAUCCAAUGUGAAAAUACCUGUUUUAACUGAUAAUUUUACUUAAUAUUUACUGUUUAUCAAUAUACUUGCAUUUAGUAUUAUUAGACCUAGCUUUCAAUAUAUAUGUUGCUUUUUCUUUUUAAUAUUAGAGUACCUCAUUUGAAAUGCUUGAGAUAUUUAUAUAUGUGUUGCUCUACUGGUUUGUAAGUUAUACCUUGAUUUUUAAUCAAUGGCCAUAAACAUUUAACAUGCAUAUUUAGCUAUGUCUAAAGUAAAUUAAUAUUUCUAAGCUUCUUCUGAACAAUUUAGUAAUUUUUUUACACCCAACAACUUUUUCAGUUUACAUAUUAUUGUUUCCCAGUCUUUUAAUUGUAGCAGAACAAUUUUGGUUUUAGCCCCCAAAUUAUUAUUACCAUUGCAUUAUACAUUUAUUGCUUGUUUAGAUGCAUCCACAUAUUUAUGAUUUUCUUAGGUCAUCAAUCUAGGUUGUCUUCUGGAUUUUAUUAUUUUUUCUGUCGACAGUCUACUUAAAUUUAUUUGUUUCUGUGAUGGGCCUAGAGAUUGACAGAGCACACUAAUUAUUGGGUUUCUAAGUCAUCUUAUACUUGAGAAGCUUCAGCUCAGUGCACAAGCCUCUGUCUAUUACAGACAAAUCACUGCCAUGCCAUCCUCUGAAACUCUAAGAAUUUAAGAAACUCUAAGAAUUUAAAAGUGAUUUAACCCCAAAAGUAGUGGAUAAUUUUGAUACUAGCUCUUCCCUGCCUUCACCUCCACCUCCACCUCUUGCCUCCCAUUCAUGAUCCCCCCCAUUCCUUUAUUGACAAUGUCAGAUACAAAAGAAGUUCCUCUUCAAAGGUUUGGCUUGUUAAGCACCCUUGUUCUUUGUUCUCUACUUCCAAGGGCAGACAAACUUCCUUAUCCUUUGUGCCUGUCUUAGUUUCAGUAAACAACCUUCCCACUGGUCCUUAUCUACAGAGACCACAUCUGCUACCCACUCUAUAAAUUACUCCUACUGUCACAAUAGCUCUUCCCACC